RNAcentral lists this ribosomal RNA (1400 nucleotides) under Salegentibacter mishustinae. RNAcentral's name for it is "bacterial SSU rRNA". It matches the Rfam family "Bacterial small subunit ribosomal RNA". The record is from RNAcentral. Lineage: Bacteria; Pseudomonadati; Bacteroidota; Flavobacteriia; Flavobacteriales; Flavobacteriaceae.
GUCGAGGGGUAACAUAGAAAAGCUUGCUUUUCUGAUGACGACCGGCGCACGGGUGCGUAACGCGUAUACAACCUACCUUUUAGCGGGGAAUAGCCCAGGGAAACUUGGAUUAAUGCCCCAUAGUAUAUAGACUUCUCCUGAAGUUUAUAUUAAACAUUUAUGGCUAUUAGAUGGGUAUGCGUCCUAUUAGUUAGUUGGUAAGGUAACGGCUUACCAAGGCAGCGAUAGGUAGGGGUCCUGAGAGGGAGAUCCCCCACACUGGUACUGAGACACGGACCAGACUCCUACGGGAGGCAGCAGUGAGGAAUAUUGGACAAUGGGCGAGAGCCUGAUCCAGCCAUGCCGCGUGCAGGAAGACUGCCCUAUGGGUUGUAAACUGCUUUUACAGAGGAAGAACCACCCUCACGUGUGGGGGUUUGACGGUACUCUGCGAAUAAGGAUCGGCUAACUCCGUGCCAGCAGCCGCGGUAAUACGGAGGAUCCAAGCGUUAUCCGGAAUCAUUGGGUUUAAAGGGUCCGUAGGCGGGCAGUUAAGUCAGUGGUGAAAGUCUUCCGCUCAACGGGAGAACUGCCAUUGAUACUGAUUGUCUUGAGUUAUUAUGAAGUGGUUAGAAUGAGUAGUGUAGCGGUGAAAUGCAUAGAUAUUACUCAGAAUACCGAUUGCGAAGGCAGAUCACUAAUAAUAUACUGACGCUGAUGGACGAAAGCGUAGGUAGCGAACAGGAUUAGAUACCCUGGUAGUCUACGCCGUAAACGAUGGUUACUAGCUGUUCGGCCCAAUUGAGGGCUGAGUGGUUAAGCGAAAGUGAUAAGUAACCCACCUGGGGGAGUACGUUCGCAAGAAUGAAACUCAAAGGAAUUGACGGGGGGCCCGCACAAGCGGUGGAGCAUGUGGUUUAAUUCGAUGAUACGCGAGGAACCUUACCAGGGCUUAAAUGUAGUCUGACAGGUCUGGAAACAGACUUUUUUUCGGACAGAUUACAAGGUGCUGCAUGGUUGUCGUCAGCUCGUGCCGUGAGGUGUCAGGUUAAGUCCUAUAACCAGCGCAACCCCUGUGGUUAGUUGCCAGCGAGUAAUGUCGGGAACUCUAGCCAGACUGCCGGUGCAAACCGUGAGGAAGGUGGGGAUGACGUCAAAUCAUCACGGCCCUUACGUCCUGGGCCACACACGUGCUACAAUGGUAGGGACAGAGAGCAGCCACUUCGCGAGAAGGAGCGAAUCUACAAACCCUAUCACAGUUCGGAUCGCAGUCUGCAACUCGACUGCGUGAAGCUGGAAUCGCUAGUAAUCGCAUAUCAGCCAUGAUGCGGUGAAUACGUUCCCGGGCCUUGUACACACCGCCCGUCAAGCCAUGGAAGCCGGGGGUACCUGAAGUCGGUCACCGCAAGGAGCCGCCUAGG